RNAcentral lists this ribosomal RNA (582 nucleotides) under uncultured bacterium. RNAcentral describes it as "partial 16S ribosomal RNA". It matches the Rfam family "Bacterial small subunit ribosomal RNA", at positions 355 to 932 of the family's 1533-position model. The record is from RNAcentral.
UGGGGAAUUUUGGACAAUGGGCGAAAGCCUGAUCCAGCAAUGCCGCGUGCGUGAAGAAGGCCUUCGGGUUGUAAAGCACUUUUGUCCGGAAAGAAAUCCUUGGCUCUAAUACAGUCGGGGGAUGACGGUACCGGAAGAAUAAGCACCGGCUAACUACGUGCCAGCAGCCGCGGUAAUACGUAGGGUGCAAGCGUUAAUCGGAAUUACUGGGCGUAAAGCGUGCGCAGGCGGUUUGCUAAGACCGAUGUGAAAUCCCCGGGCUCAACCUGGGAACUGCAUUGGUGACUGGCAGGCUAGAGUAUGGCAGAGGGGGGUAGAAUUCCACGUGUAGCAGUGAAAUGCGUAGAGAUGUGGAGGAAUACCGAUGGCGAAGGCAGCCCCCUGGGCCAAUACUGACGCUCAUGCACGAAAGCGUGGGGAGCAAAACAGGAUUAGAUACCCUGGUAGUCCACGCCCUAAAACGAUGUCAACUAGUUGUUGGGGGAUUCAUUUCCUUAGUAACGUAGCUAACGCGUGAAGUUGACCGCCUGGGGAGUACGGUCGCAAGAUUAAAACUUAAAUGAAUUGACGGGGUCAUAGCUG